UAGAAACACUCAAAGGUCCUCCAUCGCUCC
RNAcentral lists this non-coding RNA (30 nucleotides) under Mus musculus (house mouse). The record is from RNAcentral. Lineage: Eukaryota; Metazoa; Chordata; Mammalia; Rodentia; Muridae.